CAGGGUGCUGUCGAAAGCGCGAAGAGCGAGAUGUGAAACGCUGGAAGGGGUUGGAGAGAAAGAAAGAAAGAAAAAAAAAACGAUUUACGCUCGUCUUUCGAGUUUCAUCGAGCGUCGACAGACACGAUCUCUCAUUAAUUACCCUUUCCUCCAUGCGUUACGUUAUAUUUAUUCGCGAACUUGUGGCGCGACCGUUUAAAACACGUCGAAUGGAAAGCUCGAGCAUCUUGUCUGAUAUUUCGCGGCAGGGAGGGCUCGGUUUUCGAUUCAUCACCAGGCCACUCGGCCUCGAGUGCUCGCGCGGGAGUAUCGUUGUUAAUUCUUCCGCGUAUAUAGGUGUAUACACGAAGCGUUGAUAAUCGGUUUCGCGAUUCCGCCAACGGGACCGAGAUCUGCUCCAGUUUCGCCUUUGUUCCGACCCGACCCGAGAUCGAGCGUUGUUCUAAGCGCGUUCUCUUCUCGUGUUGGCGUUUUUUUUGUGGAUAGGUUAGCGUGAAUGGAUCGAGAGACACAAAGCUGUGGGGAUGGUUGUUUCGAAACUGAAGUGUGGGGUUGAACGAUGAGGGAUGUGACUCGUCGAUAUUGAAAGCGACGCUUUUGGAGAUUGGAAGUUUGAUCGUGAAAAAACACGAGGAAAUAUUCAAAAACGGAAAUCAGACUGGAAGAUAGUGCGACAGCAGCGCCACAGUAUACGACCUAAUAUCCAUUUUCACAGGAGGAGCAUUAUUUAAAUAGCCAGACGUCGGAGGCGGCGGAGAUAUUUUUUUAAAUAAAAACUCGUUUAUUAGA
Molecule: long non-coding RNA, 789 nt
Organism: Apis florea (little honeybee)
Lineage: Eukaryota; Metazoa; Arthropoda; Insecta; Hymenoptera; Apidae
Source: RefSeq, a predicted model, not a curated record